GGCCAGGAGAUGGAGAGAGGGAGCAGGAAGAGCCGAGGGAGUACCAACAGCGUCGAGCUGACAGUUUGUGGGAGUAUCUCACAGAUUUCCACUGAAAACGUUUAAUCGCCGCGGACUGCAUUAGCAGUGGUGUGUGUAUGGGCCGACCCAAGGUUGUAAGAGGCCCCAAGCAGAAGCUCAUGUGAGGGGCUACUUCCGGUUUGGCCCUCCAGUCACAACAGUACCACUGACCUGCCUUUUAUAUUGUCCAUGGUCGAUCUUUGUUUUUUUCAUUUAGAAUUUAACAUGGUUUGCAGUUAAAUUAAAACGACAACGUAAAACAUG
This is a long non-coding RNA of Girardinichthys multiradiatus, 324 nucleotides long. RefSeq lists it as uncharacterized. Lineage: Eukaryota; Metazoa; Chordata; Actinopteri; Cyprinodontiformes; Goodeidae. The transcript has 2 exons. The record is from RefSeq and is a predicted model, not a curated record.